AGCACUAAGUCACUUUGUCUUUAUGGCAAAUGUGAGAUGCAGUGUAUGGAAUGUCAAAUUUCUAGUAUGAGAAAUUAACGAUUUAAGUCCUUCUUAAAUGAGGCCAUUUACCCAUAGAGGGUGCCAGGCCCGUAUAACGUUAAUGAUUACUAGAUGGCAUUUCCAAAGAGUCGUGUUGCUUGAUAGUGCAGCACUAAGUGGGUGGUAAACUCCAUCUAAAACUAAAUAUAACCAUGAGACCGAUAGUAAACAAGUACCGUGAGGGAAAGUUGAAAAGAACUCUGAAUAGAGAGUUAAAUAGUACGUGAAACUGCUUAGAGGUUAAGCCCGAUGAACUUGAAUAUCCAUUAUAGAAAAUUCAUCAUUAUGAUUUAUAAUAUAUAAAUAAUAUUAUAAUAAUAGUGUGCAUUUUUUCUAUAUAAAGGACAUUGUAAUCUAUUAACAUUAAUGCAAGGAUUUAUCAUAAGAUCAUUUGCAAAAGUUUAUUCAAAUUAUUUUGCUUGCAAUUUAACAUAGAAUAAAUGCUUAUGAUUUGAUAAAGUGUUGAUAGAUUUAUUAUAAUAUAGUGCUUAAAUUUAUUUAUAAAUUUUAUAAUAGCAUAUUAAUCAAUGAUUUUUAUGUUUAUUAUAUGCACUUAUAUGAUUAACAAUGCGAAAGAUUCAGGAUACCUUCGGGACCCGUCUUGAAACACGGACCAAGGAGUCUAACAUAUUUGCAAGUUAUUGGGAAUAAAAACCUAAUAGCGAAAUUAACAUAACUUAUAUAAUGGGAUUAGUUUUUAGACUAUUUAUAGUCUAUUAAUUCAAUCCCGGGGCGUUCUAUACAGUUAUGUAUAAUAAUAUUUAUAUUAUUUAUACCUCUAACUAGAGCGUACCUUGAGCAUAUAUGCUGUGACCCGAAAGAUGGUGAACUAUACUUGAUCAGGUUGAAGUCAGGGGAAACCCUGAUGGAAGACCGAAACAGUUCUG
RNAcentral lists this ribosomal RNA (968 nucleotides) under Pollenia rudis. Its description in RNAcentral is "eukaryotic LSU rRNA". It matches the Rfam family "Eukaryotic large subunit ribosomal RNA", at positions 111 to 888 of the family's 3401-position model. The record is from RNAcentral. Lineage: Eukaryota; Metazoa; Arthropoda; Insecta; Diptera; Polleniidae.